Molecule: long non-coding RNA, 1799 nt
Organism: Piliocolobus tephrosceles (Ugandan red Colobus)
Lineage: Eukaryota; Metazoa; Chordata; Mammalia; Primates; Cercopithecidae
Exons: 4
Source: RefSeq, a predicted model, not a curated record
CUCCUGACCUCCUGAAUGGUUUUAAAAACUUUGCUCAAAAUAAGUGACACUUAUUAGAAAGUGAGGAAAUGGAAAAAGAUUAAGUGUACUCAGUAGGACUGGAUAUCUAUCUGAUAGAACAUUUUCCUCCAGGACUCCAAAUAGAGUGGUCAAAUGAAGGUUUAACACUGAUCUCCAGGCUGAAACUGUUACACACAUAAACCACAACCUGAAUCAUCUCAUCCUGUUUCUGCAACCAAGGAAGUCAUCAUUCAUUGUGACAUCACGUUCGGGGACCAGGCAAAUAGAGUGAAAUCUCAGGAGGAUGCUUACCAGGAAUCAGGAAACUGGAAAAACAAUGGCCUGCUAGGACAGGUCUCCAAGCCCGAGAGGAUCACAGUUCACGGGGCUCAUCCAUCCAUCUGAGGACCACUACCAGAUAAAAAUCCUGCAAUUAUAUUUAGUGGCACUGUGUAAGACAAACUGCAAAACAUAAUACGUGCUCAGAACAAGACUACUCUCCUUCAGACUGGCCCUGCGGCCCUCAGCCAGUUCAGAAGAUGUGUUGGUACUAGCCAAAAUGGGGAGUGAAGGUGAUCACUGAAAGGACCACAAUCAUGCCUCAGCCUCCUAGCAGCCAUCUUGCUCUAUAUAGGGACCCAUGAGCACAGAGAACCAGCCUUUUAAAAAUGAAAACAUACUUAUGUCCUGGAAAAGCUACGUGGUGCUGGGUAAAGUUUAAUUUAAAGUAAAAGCUGCAUUAAUACACCCAAAUUUUAAAGUGUAUGCUUUGAGGGAAAAUUUAAUGAAAUUUAAACGUCAGCAGAAAUAGCAAGCUUCCGCUGGACACUUGUGUGGGCAUCAGCUUUUCUCUUCAAGUAUGGCCUGUCUUUUGCAGGAAGAUAGCUAUACUGAAGGAUAUUAAAGGGAUGGAGAAAAUUCAUACAGUCCCUCAACCUCAAUCCCUUAUCCUCCUUCAUCCUGGCUACCGACUCAAAUACCACUAACGCCACAAAGUACAUAAAAAGGUACAAGGACUGCUGGUUUUUUCAUGCAAAGCCUUAGAGUGUUAACCAGGAAAUGGAUGAAGUGCCAGGCCAUUACAAAUGCCCCAUUGAGAAACCUAGCUAGUUGCGUCACUUCCACAGGCAAACAAUCUUUUUAAACUGGCUGACUGUGUCCCCAAGUUUUAUCGCCUUCUAUGUAGAGCUGGUUAGUGGCAUCUUCCCAGUAAAGGACACCUGGAUACGAGUGUUAUUACUUAGUACAGGGGAAAAAGGAAGGACGGAGAGUAGAGCACUAACAUUUAUACCAGUCGUUUGCCUCUGCUAACUUUUCUACAAGCUGAGCCUCAGUGCCAAGGGCCUGAUCUAUCACUAGCCUGGUUUGGCUAUUCUUGCAAUUCUGGCUUCUCUGCAAAGAAAGAUGGGCUGGGGUGCAAACAUUUUAAAAAGGGGCUUCAUUCAUUCACCUCAUGAUAGAUGCUAGAGCCCACAUGUUUUGAAAAAGGGACAAAAUUCUGGCCUCAACAGUAACUUUCUAACACUCUUGGGAACAUUCCAUUGGAAGGAAGAACCAACAACUGUCAACUCUGUAUUCUGGAAGAGUCUCAGAGGUAUGGAAAACUGGGUACUAUUCUAUUGCCAAAUUUUAGCAGACUAUCAAGAAAAAGGAAAUAGCCAGGUGACACACUUCUUGCAGACAUAGCUCAGGAAUCUGGGCCAGUUUACUGUUUAUAUAUAUUGGACUUAAAAUUCUAUAAAGGCUCAGAAAACAAAAAAUACUAACAAUGUAUUUAAAACUCAAUAAAAUCAAGAUAG